This is a long non-coding RNA of Gastrolobium bilobum, 1685 nucleotides long. RefSeq lists it as uncharacterized. The transcript is spliced from 10 exons. The record is from RefSeq and is a predicted model, not a curated record. NCBI's taxonomy places the organism in Eukaryota, Viridiplantae, Streptophyta, Magnoliopsida, Fabales, Fabaceae.
CCUCUCUCAAAUUCUCAGCCCUCUUUCUUCUUUCUUCAUUCUCAAAUUCUCAUAGCACGCAUUAGCCUUUUUUAAUUCUGAUUUCUUCAUUUUUUUUCCUCCUAGGAUUCUAAUUAAUGUUUCAUUCUAAGUUCUUCAUUUCUUCACCUUUCUUUCCUGCUAGGGUUUGGAUCUGUGGAUAGUUCUAUCAUACUUUAAUAAAUUUGGCUUGUUUGUUUUAUUUUUUCGAGAUCCCCAUUUUCUCCGAAGCAAGCAAAUGGCUAAGGGUCCUGGUCUCUACUCUGACAUCGGCAAGAAAGCCAAGGAUCUUCUGUUCAAGGACUACCACAGUGACCAGAAGUUCACCAUCACCACCUACUCACCCACUGGAGUUUUGUACGAUUAAUCCUGGUGAGAAUGAAGUAUUAGUUCGAUAUGCUUUGGAUAAAUACAAAUACCUGUCAUUGGCGCCUCAGCACCCAAGAAUUGGAGGACCUGGUCUGGUUGGUAGCUGUGAAUUUCCUGAUGGAUAUGUAGAGUAAAAUUUGAUGCUAGUCCCACUAAAUAACCUGGGCCUACUCUUUAUUAGUGGGGCCAGUAUGAGAUUUCUUCCGUAAAAGAGACAAUAUUGAGAAGUGUCAAACAAUGUGCUGCUGGGAGUGGUUACAACCUGGGGAGGAAGACCUUGUUCAGAGGUAUUAAUGUGCAAGCUUUGGAUCCUGUCAGAUACGCGGUUUACUUCAAAAGAUUUGAGGGAACCUUUCAAUCUUCAAAAGGGUUGGCUUUUGUGGGCAGGAGCUGGACUUGUUGGUGCCCUGCUUGCCGUUGCAUUGACAGGAGCUGCUUUGUCCUUCUUUAAUGGAGAAACCCCAGAGAGAGAGGUUAAUAAUUUAUUUUUUAAAUUUCUCUUUCUCCCGCCUCUGCGAAAAAUGGUAAGUUAGGGUUCUUGCUUAUUCUCUUUCUCUUUCUUUUUCUCCUCGUCGCUUUUCAACAACAACUAUUCCAGUUUUGGAUUGAUUGUCUUCUUUGACACUUUGAAAUUCCUUAUCUAAUUUUUUUGUUUCUUUUUUAAUUAUUAUUAUUUUUUUAAAUUUAAUGUUCGAAUUACAGAGUGAUAUAAGGAAAUGGUUCAUGAAAUCACAUGACAAGGAAAAAAAUGCUGGUGGCUCCAAGCCUUCUAAUCAAGCGAAGUCUUCCCCUGAUAAACCCCAACCGGCGAAAACGAGUCAAGGAUCAUUUUGAAAAUUAUAAAAUCUGUCUUAAAGAAAUUAUGUGAGAAGAUGGAGGCCAAGGAGUUGAAUUUGGUAUGGAGUUGCUUAUAUAAGGAAGUCAAUGGGAAACCUUUGCCAACGGAUGUUUCAAUUCUUGAAUAUGACUUGUAUGGUGAAAAGAACCCUUGAGAGAUUUGGGAAGCCUUUGGAAGUUCCAACUCUUACGGUGGAACUGAUCUUUACUUCUUAACCACUUUAAAGAAAAAGUUUUCCACUGGCUCACGCUUGGUUCGCACCAUUGGAUGUGGUUCAUGGGAAGCUGAAGACCGUGGAAAAAAUAUUAUGGCCAGUGGCACGAUGCAAUGUAUUGGAACAAUGAGACGUUUAUGAUUUGAAAAGAGUGGCACCAACCAUGAUGGUGCUUGGAUCUUGCAUGAAUAUAGAAUUGAUUCAUCCUUGUUAGAAAAUCCAUCAGUAAGCGCGCUCUGCGUACUC